This is a small nuclear RNA of Meriones unguiculatus (Mongolian gerbil), 107 nucleotides long. The record is from Ensembl. NCBI's taxonomy places the organism in Eukaryota, Metazoa, Chordata, Mammalia, Rodentia, Muridae.
GUGCUAGCUUUGGCAGCACGUAUACUAAAAUUGAAAUAAUACACAGAAGAUUUGUAUGCCCCAUCUACAAGGAAGGUUUGUAAAUUUGUGAAGCAUCCCAUAUUUUU